AUUUUCCAAGUGACUAGUUCGAACGGUUGCCAAGUCAAAUUAAUUUAAGAAAUAAAUGGUAUUACAACAAGUGUAUUCUGAAAUCUUACAUGUUGAUAUCGUCGUUGACAACGUUUAAUACUAAAAAAUGCCCAAAGUAUACGUAAAUACAUAUAUUGCAGCGUUUUUUGUUUUCCGCAAACCGUUUUGAUUUCUCGGCACCCUUACUCAUCAGAUGCGGCCAUGUUGGUUUUAUUGUAAACGUUCACUUUGGAUGUUGGAAAUUACUCUAAAAGGUUACUUCCGCUACUGGCCUUAAUUAGCUUUGAACGCAAAAUUUCAAACUAACGCGUUGUUAAUUUUUUUCCAUGGUAUAAAUCAUUAGACAAACGUGGUAAACAAACAGAUGUCAGACAGACACUAAUUGUCUUAUAUAAAGUGAUAAUAGAUAGUAGAUUUGUAUAAGGAUAAUAUGUCUUUUAUCGUUCUUGAUAGAGACCAGAUUUCACAUGAACAUAAAAAUGUAAAUUGUAUUUACCUGGGGGAUACUUCUUUCUUCUGAAAAUAUUAAGAUCGUCUAUGGAAAUAUACUCAUGUAGAUAUUUGAUGCCAAGCCAACUGGAAAGUCUAUAUGGAUCUAUUAAUAAAAGCUCUGUACUGUUAUAUUCUUUAUAAAAACAAACAUAUAUUUA
Bactrocera tryoni is the source of this 671-nucleotide long non-coding RNA. RefSeq lists it as uncharacterized. Lineage: Eukaryota; Metazoa; Arthropoda; Insecta; Diptera; Tephritidae. The record is from RefSeq and is a predicted model, not a curated record. The transcript is spliced from 3 exons.